AGCUUUGCGCAGUGGCAGUAUCAUAGCCAAUGAGGUUUAUCUGAGGCACGAUUAUUGCUAAUUGAAAACUUUUCCCAAUACCCCGCCCAUGAUGACUUGAAAUAUAGUCGGCAUUGACAAUUUGACAGUCUCUACAGAGA
RNAcentral lists this small nuclear RNA (140 nucleotides) under Aotus nancymaae (Ma's night monkey). RNAcentral describes it as "U4 spliceosomal RNA (ENSANAG00000004312.1)". It matches the Rfam family "U4 spliceosomal RNA". Rfam says of the family: U4 small nuclear RNA (U4 snRNA) is a component of the major U2-dependent spliceosome. The structure of U4 snRNA from yeast and human has been reported. Lineage: Eukaryota; Metazoa; Chordata; Mammalia; Primates; Aotidae. The record is from Rfam by way of RNAcentral.